RNAcentral lists this unclassified non-coding RNA (390 nucleotides) under soil metagenome. Its description in RNAcentral is "partial contains 5.8S ribosomal RNA, internal transcribed spacer 2, and large subunit ribosomal RNA". The stretch from base 1 to 122 matches the Rfam family "5.8S ribosomal RNA", at positions 35 to 154 of the family's 154-position model. The record is from RNAcentral.
GAUGAAGAACGUAGCGAAAUGCGAUACUUGGUGUGAAUUGCAGAAUCCCGUGAACCAUCGAGUCUUUGAACGCAAGUUGCGCCCGAAGCCAUUAGGCCGAGGGCACGCCUGCCUGGGCGUCACACGUCGUUGCCCCCCCAUCUACUCCUUCGGGAUUGCGGGGGGCGGAUGAUGGCCUCCCGUGCGCCUCGUCGCGCGGUUGGCAUAAAUGCCAAGUCCUCGGCGACGCACGCCACGACAAUCGGUGGUUGCGAAACCGCGGUUGCCCGUCGUGUGCGGUCGUCGCGCAUCGAGGGCUCGAAAAAAUUGCCGGGCUCCGGCUCGGCUUUCAACGCGACCCCAGGUCAGGCGGGGUUACCCGCUGAAUUUAAGCAUAUCAAUAAGCGGGGA